Molecule: long non-coding RNA, 723 nt
Filed under: Brassica napus (rape)
Lineage: Eukaryota; Viridiplantae; Streptophyta; Magnoliopsida; Brassicales; Brassicaceae
Description: long non-coding RNA (BNAP_LNC023012)
Source: RNAcentral
UGAAUUUUCUUAUUGUUUAAUUUAAUGGUCUUUUACCUACUAUCCUAAUUAAAUAAAGAUAGAAAAUAUCCACGUUCUAUAACAUGGGUCCUUGGAAGAUUGAUUCAUGAGAUUCCUGCCCCUUCCCCCCCCCAACAAAACUAAGAACCAUCGUCUCAAUACAAUGCUUUAUCUACUAAAACAGCUGGUGCUUCUCAUCCAGAGCCGUUGAUAAAUAAGAUUAUUCGUCGAUGAACCCUGUGUCGAAGCGCGAAUCAUUUGCUAUCUCUCUCUCUCUCGGUCUCGCGAUGCCUCUCAGAUUCAAGCCAUCUCGCGUUGUGGGGCUUGUUGACCUUCACAAUCUGCUCUGAAUCUGGCUUAAGAAAUCGAUUCAACCUGAGACGAUGAUACAUGCUUAAGAGAAUCCGUUGUAGAAGCGUGAUAGUCAGUCUCCUCUUUGCAAUCGCAAUGCAGUGGUGGUGGUCGCAGUCGUAGCGGUGGUGGUCGCUGUUGCCGUCAGGUCCAAGCGAAGAAGCGGCGGUGAGGAUGGGUAGAAGAUAGACAAUUUUGUAUUAGGUUUAGGUUCUUUUUUUUUUAUUUGGUUUAGUUUUUUUUAGUAAACCAGAUGUAAUUUGUAAACCAAUUUUAGUUUAUAAACCAAAUUCUUGUUUUUAGUAACACAUACAAACCAAAUUUAGUUUACAAACCAAAUUUUCAUUGGUAAAUAAAUUUAAUUUUGUAAAC